This 1349-nucleotide ribosomal RNA is filed under the name metagenome. RNAcentral's name for it is "bacterial LSU rRNA". It matches the Rfam family "Bacterial large subunit ribosomal RNA", at positions 1564 to 2925 of the family's 2925-position model. The record is from RNAcentral.
UGAGUACGAGCUGCUACGGCAGCGAAGUGGGUGAUGUCAUGCUUCCAAGAAAAGCCCUAUACCCGUUAAGGCAUGAUGGCCUGUACCCGAAACCGACACAGGUGGGGUGGUAGAGAAUACCGAGGGGCGCGAGGUAACUCUCUCUAAGGAACUCGGCAAAAUGGCCCCGUAACUUCGGGAGAAGGGGUGCCACCGCAAGGUGGUCGCAGUGAAGAGGCCCAGGCGACUGUUUACCAAAAACACAGGUCUCCGCUAAGUCGCAAGACGAUGUAUGGGGGCUGACGCCUGCCCAGUGCCGGAAGGUUAAGGAAGCUGGUCAGCGUAAGCGAAGCUAGCGACUGAAGCCCCGGUGAACGGCGGCCGUAACUAUAACGGUCCUAAGGUAGCGAAAUUCCUUGUCGGGUAAGUUCCGACCCGCACGAAAGGCGUAACGAUCUGGGCGCUGUCUCGGAGAGAGGCUCGGCGAAAUAGAAUUGUCUGUGAAGAUGCGGACUACGUGCACCCGGACAGAAAGACCCUAUGAAGCUUUACUGUAGCUUGGUAUUGUGCUCGGGCUCGGAAUGCGCAGGAUAGGUGGGAGGCUAUGAACCAUUGCUUGUGGGUGAUGGUGAGCCACUGGUGAGAUACCACUCUUUCCGAGCUAGAGUUCUAACAGCCACCCGUUAUCCGGGGGCUGGACAGUAUCAGGUGGGCAGUUUGACUGGGGCGGUCGCCUCCUAAAAGGUAACGGAGGCGCGCAAAGGUUUGCUCAGGCUGGUUGGAAAUCAGCCGACGAGUGUAAAAGCAGAAGCAAGCUUGACUGUGAGACCUACAAGUCGAACAGGGAGGAAACUCGGCUUUAGUGAUCCGACGGUUCUGCGUGGAAGGGCCGUCGCUCAACGGAUAAAAGUUACUCUAAGGAUAACAGGCUGAUCUCCCCCAAGAGUUCACAUCGACGGGGAGGUUUGGCACCUCGAUGUCGGCUCAUCGCAACCUGGGGCUGAAGUCGGUCCCAAGGGUUGGGCUGUUCGCCCAUUAAAGCGGUACGCGAGCUGGGUUCAGAACGUUGUGAGACAGUUCGGUCCAUAUCCGGUGCAUGCGCAGGAAUAUUGAGAGGAUUUCUCCCUAGUACGAGAGGACCGGGAGGAACGCACCUCUGGUGUACCAGUUAUCGUGCCAACGGUAAACGCUGGGUAGCCAUGUGCGGAGAGGAUAACCGCUGAAAGCAUCUAAGUGGGAAGCCCACCUCAAGAUGAGUAUUCCCAUGGGGUAACCCAGUAAGGUCACGGGAAGAACACCCGUUGAUAGGCUCUACGUGGAAGCGCAGUAAUGUGUGAAGCGGAGGAGUACUAAUAGACCGAGGGCUUGAC